This 2073-nucleotide long non-coding RNA is filed under the name Equus caballus (horse). RNAcentral describes it as "lncRNA (ENSECAG00000050869.1)". Lineage: Eukaryota; Metazoa; Chordata; Mammalia; Perissodactyla; Equidae. The record is from RNAcentral.
AAGACAGGCAAGUAGCUUAGCUGGAUCACAUGUUGUCUUUACACUGCUCUUGUUAAUCCGUUUUUGGAACACUUUGUCAUUUCUUUGUAUUCCUCUUUCUUAGGAGCCUUUCUUUUCCCCAUCGAAUUCUGAAAGUGAGAAGAGUUGCAUAGCCCUGUGUACUUACGGAGCAAGCCCAAGACAUGAAGUUCUUGUGGCAAGAGGUUUGACAGUUUGAUUUAGCGGAUGAUGCUCAAAAUGGUCGCGUGGAUACAGUUGUUUGUGUCUUCACUGGAGGCCGUGGGUCCACAGGGUAACACUGCUGUAAACUCCAAGGAGGAAGGAAAGGACGCUUGCUUCUUGACAUUGUUUCUCCUGCAGAACAACUAGGACCCGGAUUAGGCAGCCCAAAGAAUGAAGAGAGGAGAGUUUGUCCUGUUUCAGCGAGUAGAUGGCUGGACGUCAGCUGAGAAGGAAUUGUGUGGAAGUGAACAGAUAAACAGUCUACUUUCUGCAAUGAGAAUUAUCUUCAAAAAUAUAUAACGUUUAGAUAUUCCUUAGGCCUGUACAUCAACAGAACCCAGGGACGGACUCCUAAGCCUCUGUGAAGGUUACGUCGAGUGGUUAGGAUCAAUCUUUGACAACACAUGCUGCAUUUUUAUAGCUGUCUCAAAGUGCGUUUAUACAUCUGAGAACUCACGGGAAACUCACGCUUCAGAGGCAGCUCCUGGUUUUUAAGUUCACUGCAGGUCAGAGGGACAGACUCUGCUCCACGUGGUCACGUGAAGACCUAGGCUCCUUCCAUACUGUGGCUGUACAUCUCUCAAAAGUGGCUGGGAGUUUGCUUGGUCUCCGCCAUCUGGAGUCAAUGACAAGAGAAGACAUGAAGAAGGCACAUCUGUCUUAACUGUUUGUGAGCAGAGGUGAAAAAAAAUUGCGAGAUGCCUAGAAAACAAAGUGUAGAUUUGUACCUAGGAAGAGGGAAUGCAUUGGGUGAGUGUGUACCCAUCUCUGUCAUGUAGCGUGGGAAGGGAUGGACACUGGAAAGGGCGAGCUUUCUCCCGCGGGUGUGGGAUGGGGUGCGUGGUGCUGGGGAACAAACGGAAAAUGUUGUGUGUGUUCUAAUUCUUUCCGAAACUAUAGCAGUGUUACAAGCUUUAUCUCUGUGCUAAAUUUUGGCCAUUUGGGUUGGCAGAUUUUUCCUGUGGUAACCCUUUUACAUCGUGGCAAGGAUUUUCUGGUCUGAUUCAUGUAAACUCCUUCCCGCUUUUGUGAUCCCUGGCUAGCAGCUGGUGAAGCCUUUGCCGUCUGUUUGGUACACAUACUCUUCCAAAUAUCCGUAAGGUACUGACUUACGAGACCAAGAUCUGGGAAUAGAUGGAGCCUCAGCCUCUUCCUGAAUAGCACGGGUUGGUGUGGCUGGAAGUAAGACAUUUUGGUGCAAAACUCUCUCUCUGAAUGUACAUAGGUACAAGUUAAGUCUGAGGUUCAACUGAGGGCCUUCCAGGAAAGAGCACGUGAGGAGGACAGAGGCACUUACUGAGGACUUUAAACUAAAAACAGCAACAUUCAUGGGUGAGAAGGAGCUGGAUUCAGACCUGGCUGUUUCAAAGGAUUCUGAGGCUGAAAUGACUGGAAAAUGUUAUAAUUUAUUCUGAUUUCAAAUAGAAAAUACUAAUUUUCCUAUCCCUACAUAGAAGUUAUCCUCUUCAUGAACCUUAAAUUUGAAAUUGCCUAGAUUUCUUCUCUCAGCAUUUCAUGAUUUAAUAUAUUUACAAAAAAUUCUUAGCAAAACUCACCCGGUGUCGCCGGAGAAGUAUUUUAAUUCUCUGCUUUUCACUUGCUGAAAGUCAUUGGCAUUUGACCGUAGAAAUUAAGAAUUUGAAUGAUUCAUUCGUAAAGUACUGGGGACAUUAGGAUCUGUUUAGGGGCACCAGAAUGUCCACUUAUUUUCAUUGCAGUUUCCAACACAGGAUAAGCAUUCUGAAGUCGAUGCUCUGGGAAAAGCCACCUUCAGUACAAACUCUUAUGUUGUGGAAAAUUAAUCUGAUUGCUUCUUUUUCAUCAUAAACAUAUGAUCUAGCAAGCAGCUGU